UACAGAGGGUGCAAGCGUUGUUCGGAAUUAUUGGGCGUAAAGCGCGUGUAGGCGGCAUGGCAAGUCGGGUGUGAAAGCCCUCAGCUCAACUGAGGAAGUGCGCCCGAAACUGCUUUGCUUGAGUGCUGGAGAGGGUCGCGGAAUUCCCCAAGUAGAGGUGAAAUUCGUAGAUAUGGGGAGGAACACCGGUGGCGAAGGCGGCGACCUGGACAGUAACUGACGCUGAGACGCGAAAGCGUGGGUAGCAAACAGG
Molecule: ribosomal RNA, 253 nt
Filed under: uncultured bacterium
Lineage: Bacteria
Description: partial 16S ribosomal RNA
Rfam family: Bacterial small subunit ribosomal RNA
Source: RNAcentral